UACAGAGGUCUCAAGCGUUGUUCGGAUUCAUUGGGCGUAAAGGGUGCGUAGGCGGCUCGGUAAGUCGGGUGUGAAAUCUUGGAGCUUAACUCCGAGACUGCAUUCGAUACUGCCGUGCUUGGGGACUGGAGAGGAGACUGGAAUUUACGGUGUAGCGGUGAAAUGCGUAGAUAUCGUAAGGAAGACCAGUGGCGAAGGCGGGUCUCUGGACAGUUCCUGACGCUGAGGCACGAAGGCGAGGGGAGCAAACGGG
RNAcentral lists this ribosomal RNA (253 nucleotides) under uncultured bacterium. RNAcentral describes it as "partial 16S ribosomal RNA". It matches the Rfam family "Bacterial small subunit ribosomal RNA", at positions 524 to 776 of the family's 1533-position model. The record is from RNAcentral.